AAUAUACUGUAAGUAUGUGCCAUUGCCAUAUAAGCAGUUAGCCUGCGUGCGACAGGUGGCGUACUUAAUGUAGCCAGCUACGGCAAAUAAUUUCCCAACAACUAAUAAUAAUCGAAAAACCUCUAGAAAAAAUCAACGUGCUCCAUACGGUUUAUUAUUUAAACAAUCUACAAUGUCAUAAAUUACACAAAUUUAUUGUAUAUAUCUAACGAUAUAGUAUAUAUCAGUAGCCUUCUAUUCUAUUUUCAGAUGAUUCUAAUUCUCUUAGCUCGUCAUAAGAAGCGUCUAGAGAUUUUGCUGAGGUGGUUAUGUAUCUUGUGUGUAUUAUGAUAUUCAAUCCUAUAGUAAUCUUAAAUUCAAUUUUGGUGAGGUGGCGGUAAAAUAUAGAUCAACAUAUCUGGCAACCUGGCGUAUGACGAUUGACGCUAGAAGUAAGUCGUACUCGGAAAAACACACACUUAGUCUAGGACUAGAAGUACUAAAAAUACUAGUCCCACGAGUAUUUAGAUGUGAGCGUCUGUGUCACCAAAAUAUAGGUAUUAGGUACAGGCCCACAAAGUUAUCUGACCCGGUGGCGAAAACAGGAACUAAAGUCGCCAUCUCGAAUACGUCAUUCUGUAUGUCAUUGCAAAGCAGAGCGCAACGCCGUGUGUUUUUUGCUUAGUUUGUGAUAAAAGUGAUAGAAAAAAUGCCGAAAGCAUUAAGUAGUGACGCGAGAAUUAUGAUUUUAAAAGUGUUGGCCUUUAUGAAGGAAGAGAAACGUCUCCAAGCCCCAAUAAUACCAUUUGAAAAAUUAUAUGAACGAAUAACUACUGCCACAGGUGUUGGUGAGCGAAUCGUGCGCAAAUUAGUCAAUAGAACUUAUUAUUAGAAAAGGUGAUAUGCAAAAGUGCCUCACUGAAAACAAUGUGAAAUACAAUGAGGGUUUCACAAAACCCCAGCUGUAUGAAUUAAUAAAGAGGCGCAAACCAGCAACAGAGUAUAAAAUCGAUAAUUUACUCAA
Pieris napi is the source of this 1003-nucleotide long non-coding RNA. RefSeq lists it as uncharacterized. NCBI's taxonomy places the organism in Eukaryota, Metazoa, Arthropoda, Insecta, Lepidoptera, Pieridae. The transcript is spliced from 2 exons. The record is from RefSeq and is a predicted model, not a curated record.